UGGACGCCAGUCUGCAUGGAGCCGACCUUGAAAUACCACCCUUUAAUGUUUGAUGUUCUAACGUGGACCCGUAAUCCGGGUUGCGGACAGUGUCUGGUGGGUAGUUUGACUGGGGCGGUCUCCUCCUAAAGAGUAACGGAGGAGCACGAAGGUUGGCUAAUCCUGGUCGGACAUCAGGAGGUUAGUGCAAUGGCAUAAGCCAGCUUGACUGCGAGCGUGACGGCGCGAGCAGGUGCGAAAGCAGGUCAUAGUGAUCCGGUGGUUCUGAAUGGAAGGGCCAUCGCUCAACGGAUAAAAGGUACUCCGGGGAUAACAGGCUGAUACCGCCCAAGAGUUCAUAUCGACGGCGGUGUUUGGCACCUCGAUGUCGGCUCAUCACAUCCUGGGGCUGAAGUAGGUCCCAAGGGUAUGGCUGUUCGCCAUUUAAAGUGGUACGCGAGCUGGGUUUAGAACGUCGUGAGACAGUUCGGUCCCUAUCUGCCGUGGGCGCUGGAGAACUGAGGGGGGCUGCUCCUAGUACGAGAGGACCGGAGUGGACGCAUCACUGGUGUUCGGGUUGUCAUGCCAAUGGCACUGCCCGGUAGCUAAAUGCGGAAGAGAUAAGUGCUGAAAGCAUCUAAGCACGAAACUUGCCCCGAGAUGAGUUCUCCCUGACUCCUUGAGAGUCCUGAAGGAACGUUGAAG
RNAcentral lists this ribosomal RNA (684 nucleotides) under Escherichia coli. Its description in RNAcentral is "partial 23S ribosomal RNA". It matches the Rfam family "Bacterial large subunit ribosomal RNA", at positions 2165 to 2843 of the family's 2925-position model. Lineage: Bacteria; Pseudomonadati; Pseudomonadota; Gammaproteobacteria; Enterobacterales; Enterobacteriaceae. The record is from RNAcentral.